Molecule: ribosomal RNA, 492 nt
Filed under: uncultured bacterium
Lineage: Bacteria
Description: partial 16S ribosomal RNA
Rfam family: Bacterial small subunit ribosomal RNA
Source: RNAcentral
AGUGAACGCUGGCGGUAGGCCUAACACAUGCAAGUCGAACGGCAGCACAGUAAGAGCUUGCUCUUACGGGUGGCGAGUGGCGGACGGGUGAGGAAUACAUCGGAAUCUACUUUUUCGUGGGGGAUAACGUAGGGAAACUUACGCUAAUACCGCAUACGACCUACGGGUGAAAGCAGGGGAUCUUCGGACCUUGCGCGAUUGAAUGAGCCGAUGUCGGAUUAGCUAGUUGGCGGGGUAAAGGCCCACCAAGGCGACGAUCCGUAGCUGGUCUGAGAGGACGAUCAGCCACACUGGAACUGAGACACGGUCCAGACGCCUAAGGGAGGCAGCAGUGGGGAAUAUUGGACAAUGGGCGCAAGCCUGAUCCAGCCAUACCGCGUGGGUGAAGAAGGCCUUCGGGUUGUAAAGCCCUUUUGUUGGGAAAGAAAAGCAGCAGGUUAAUACCCCGCUGUUCUGACGGUACCCAAAGAAUAAGCACCGGCUAACUUCGUG